Long non-coding RNA from Ictalurus punctatus (channel catfish), 672 nucleotides. Lineage: Eukaryota; Metazoa; Chordata; Actinopteri; Siluriformes; Ictaluridae. The record is from Ensembl.
CAAACAUUUACAAGCAGUUAUUUGGGUAUUUCCAUCUGUAAAGCAUACAUAUUUAACACAGGAGGCCAAGCUUUCAAUAUCGAGGCAGCCAGCACACACCAAUUGUGGGAUGUUAAAGGAAUCAUUUUUAUUUCAUAAAAAAUAGGACUGAGCCAGAGAGAAAUUCUUAGUUCAGGUCCUCUGAUUUGCGACAGCAAUCUGACAAGAAGCGACUUGCCUGAGAAAGGGUGGCAGACGGCAUGCCUGGAGAAAUAAAAGAGAAUACACACCCCAGAGUCAAGACGUGUUAGAGGCAGCUAUAUCUACACCAGUCUGGACACCUGGAUUUGGAGAUCAUCCCUCGCUCCUCUUCGCAGAACUGUUCUAGCUGGGAAAGAUUUCAUCAGGUUCUGCCUCAGAACUCCGUCUCCAUGUACUUGGCUCCGUUCAUCCUGCCCCGCAAUCUCUGCAGAUGACAAACAUCCCCACGACAUCAUGCUACCUCCACCAUGCCUCACAGUCGAGAUGGUGUUUUUAUUGUUAUUGUUGCCAAAAAGUUUUACUCUGAUUUCCUCCAUCUGACGACAAAAGCUUCUGCCAGUUUGUUGUCAGGUGUCUUUGUGCAAACUUCAUAUACCACUCCAGGUGGACCUUUUUGAGAACUGGCUUUCUUCUUUCCACCAUACAGGCCAG